CCUACGGGUUGCACCAGUGGGGAAUAUUGCACAAUGGGCGCAAGCCUGAUGCAGCCAUGCCGCGUGUAUGAAGAAGGCCUACGGGUUGUAAAGUACUUUCAGCGGGGAGGAAGGAGUUGUGGUUAAUAACCACAGCAAUUGACGUUACCCGCAGAAGAAGCACCGGCUAACUCCGUGCCAGCAGCCGCGGUAAUACGGAGGGUGCAAGUGUUAAUCGGAAUUACUGGGCGUAAAGCGCACGCAGGCGGUCUGUCAAGUCGGAUGUGAAAUCCCCGGGCUCAACCUGGGAACUGCAUUCGAAACUGGCAGGCUAGAGUCUUGUAGAGGGGGGUAGAAUUCCAGGUGUAGCGGUGAAAUGCGUAGAGAUCUGGAGGAAUACCGGUGGCGAAGGCGGCCCCCUGGACAAAGACUGACGCUCAGGUGCGAAAGCGUGGGGAGCAAACAGGAUUAGAUACCCGGGUAGUC
Molecule: ribosomal RNA, 465 nt
Filed under: uncultured bacterium
Lineage: Bacteria
Description: bacterial SSU rRNA
Rfam family: Bacterial small subunit ribosomal RNA
Source: RNAcentral